CCUGUGAAUGAGGGUUUGAAUCCCAGCUAGGACUCAACGUAAAAAUAAGGUACAAGACUCUGUAUGUUACACAGAAAGUGUAAUCCCAUAUGUAACACAUGUUACAUGGAACAUGAUUGUGUUCCAUUGCUAACAUUGAAAUAUCCAAAUCAAGUAAAUGUGAAAAACACAAGGUUUUAGGAAGCUAGCAUCUGUUGGGCUCAAGAAUCCAUGCAAUCUUCAUUUCACUGGGCAGUCUUGUUCGCUGGUCUAUAGUGGCCCUACAGUGAGAUUUGGUCUUGGCGUUAAACAAGUGUUUAGAAUGGUUUUGCAGUUGUUAAUAGAAAACUGCCACAUUAUGCACAAACUUGUACAUAGGAAUUCUCUUUUAUGACAUUAUGGUCGAUCCUGUAGUACAUCCUGACAUUAAGGUUGAUUGUGGAAAGUCAGUGUUUAGUUUCUCCAUUUAUCAUAUAGUGUCUCUGAAAAACUUGUACAGAUUUUAUCAAUUGUAUGUAGCUAAGGUAUUUAUUGCAUUAGUUUCUGGUGCUUCAAAGAAUAGUCCAUUUUACAUCUGUUUUGGGCAUCUGUAGCUUACUACAACCUGUCUCCAUGACCAGCAUCUGUAUGAAUCGUGUAUAGACAUAAUGGAUGUAGUAAUUGUAAAUAUCAAACUGUUGCUGGGAAUUUUACUUGAUCACCUUCCCACUGAACAAGAGUUGGUUUGCUGACAAAGUUUAUAGAAAUAAGCAUGUUCGUCAUCUUAUCAUAAUUUUACGACUUACAAAUCGUUAUAUCUGUUGAUAAUUAUAAGUGAAUGAAGAAUCAUUAUGAAUUCAUUUUACAAUCAUUUUUAGUAUUUAGAUAUUUGUGGCCAUUGCUCACAUUCUUGACAGCAUUUUAAAUUGAAAGUUGGCAGUCUAUUUUAGUGGGCAUGGUGCCUUUAACAAGCUACUGCUACACAGUUAUUUUGUCUCCUGAUUGAUGGCAGCUACACUGUAAAACGCACAUAGCAGUGAAAUAGAUUCAUUAUUCUGACAGCUAUUGACAAGGUGCUAAUUUCAAUUCACAUAGACUCCACAACAUGACAUUGAUUGGCCAUUACUUGUGAACUACUAUAUUGUUCCAUGUAAAUUUCAACCCACUUUUAGGAUGUUCACUAAACAAAUACUUGAUUUUUAAAUUUGUUGAUUCAAUGGUCUGUAUUCUUAAGGGCCUUGUGUACUGUCAACACAAAUCUGCAGCUUCAUUAUACUUCCUUGUCAUAGUAAUAACGGUUCAAAAUUGUACAGGAGACUAAAUGGGCCCUUCUCAUACCUUCAUUUUAAAAGUUGUAGAUUAAGGGGUUCAUUCAAUUUCAAAAAAUUCAAAAAAUUAUUGAAGACUUCAACAACCCUGGGCUCCUUUGUUUAAAAACUGGUGUGUAUAGGUUGAGUACAACAAUUCUCCACAUGUUUUGUUUUCUAACUGUAUGUUCCCAAUAGUUCUCAAGAAGACAGGUUUCUGGAAUAACAGGGUCUGGACAGACAAGGUUACACUUUGUGACUCAGCUUUACAAUUAACAAUUGCUGAUAUGCAAAAUCAUAAUGUUUUUUUGUUUGUGGCAAAAUGGAGUCUAGAUUUUAAAUGGAAAUUAGUGCAACAUGUAUUUAACUGCUUGAUUAUGCUUUCUCUUUGUGACACUUCUAUUAAGAAUCUGACAAUUCACUUGGUUAUUCAGAUGAAUGAACCAGAUGAUGAAUGAGCACAGUUCAAAGUAGACCCCCAAGUCGUGCUACCGACGCUAACCUCAAAUAAUGAGUUGUCAUGUGAGGAAUACUGUGCCAUCUGCUAGAAUACAAGAUGGUACCUGGAACUAACAUUUCUUACCCAUGAAGGUCCAGGUUGGAAUUGGUCUCCCAGUAGUGCAGAUCAAUACCCUUGAAGUCAGUCACAAUUAUUUGCAGACUGCCGACCUGUAGCUGGAAUAUUGCUGAGUGAGGUGUUAAACAACAAACAAACUACUAACAUUUCACUGUUUACUACCAGCUGAUGGCAGUAAGAUGGAGGAGGGUUAAUGGCUUCAUAAACUUAACAGUGAAUCUCAUCGUAACAAAACAAUUGAUUUUAAUGUUUUACAGGUAAUUGUGAACAAGAAGUCAAUUUCUAGCCAAAUAUCUAAGUGGAUUAAUCAUUGGUUAAUCAAACAUGGAAGUAUGGUUGAAGAAACAUUUUUCAAAAUUUUCUUAUUCACAAGAUACUUUAUAUGUAUGUCAUCUUCUCAGAUCUCAUGGUCACUGAAUGGUGCUUGUAUUCUUUAAAGAAAUGGUUUGUAAGUUCAAGAUUCAUGAAAUGACUGUGGAUAUCUUUUAUGCUCACAAAUGUUAAAGUGAUAUAGUUCAUUAAUCUCUUUUAAUUGCUGCCAUUUUGAUUAACGUGUGUUUCUUGUACUUUUAUGUGCACAGUGAAUUAAGAAUGUUUUAGAACUAUUGGAUUGAUUUCCACAAAGGAUUUUUAUUUUGACUGUCCGUAAUAUCUCCGAUUGUAACUUGUUUUGUAUAUCAGAUGUAAUUUUAAAACAUACAAUUUGAAUGGUGGUAGUUUUAUUCCUUAGGGUUAUUCCAAAGUCCAAUACAAUUGACACACCUUGAUUGUUAACUUGUUGUACGUCAAGUACUUGUUGGUAACUGGCUGUCAAUCCAACUACCAGUCAUGAUGUAUGGCAGAAUGUAUAUACAGUUUUGACAAUAAUCUUUAUGAUGGUAUGAGGUUUAGGAAUUACAGAAUAGACUGUUGUUUUAAGAUUUUGAUGCACAAUAUUCUUAGUAAAAAGAAUUUGUUCAAAAACUAUGAAAAUAGAUUCCCAAUUACUGAUGAUUUGGAAAACAAGUGCAGUCUACAGAUAUGCAAAAAAGAUCUGAGAAAGUUUGUAUUUAAUUUUUAGCUGUUAUUAAAUACAGUUUAUUCAAAAAAAUUUUUUAUAGGUCUAUGGGUUUUUGUUCUACAGGGAUUACCGGGUAUGUGUAUUUUUUUGUGUGGUGGGUUGGUGGCCCGGUGGUAAAAGUGGACACUUGUCACACUGAGCAGUGAGUUCAUUCCCAACAUGGAUGGAAUGCGAGAAGUCCAGUCUUAAAUUCACACUGUGAUUAGUGCUAGAAGGAGCCGAACCACUGAUUUACUCUGUGAAGGUUGAUGAGCAGUGUGUGGAGUCUUGUCUGUAUAGACACUACUCCCCUGACAACUGAUGGAAUGUCUUUGGCUACUUGGUGCUCAGCCUUGUGUUGUCUGUAUGUUAUAUGGAUAUUUUCAACCCUGUAUUGGUCACAAGUGUUAGUUAUAAAUUUCCAUUUUAACAUUAGACCUUCAAAUCCAUGUCCACGGAAGUUAAGUUACUCUGUCAGCUGGCUGUCACUGUUUGCAUGUUAUCUAUGGCUGAUUCCUACUGAGCCAUGUAGACAAGUAGUUUAAAAGAUAAAUGACAGGAGCUGUUCGGGACCAUAAAUGAAAAUGAUACACAAACCAGCUAGAUUUCCCUGUUAUACAAUUUAUUUAGAAGAAUCUCUGAAGGAAUAGCUCAUUUGUCCACAAUGCUGGAAUUUGCCAUGCAGAGUUGCAUACCUUGGUUGUGCCAGAAUCCGACGACCAUGUUUUUCAAAUCCCUGAUUUUUCAUGAUCCGUAUUUGUUUCGUCUACCCCAUCCUGUAGUUAUCACACAGUUGGACCAUUAAAUAUGGACCAGAAUUUAAGCAUUUUACUAAAAUAACUCCACUCUCAUGUAUAUAUUUAUCGUACAUCGCAUGUUAUAGUAUUAGAGCCUAUAACUGCCCGAGCAUAUGUAAAUAAGCUGUAAUGCAUAUCAGUUGAUGAGUAUGGUGCUACAGUCAUGAUGCUCCCUUGUAUAUAAUUGUUGGCAGCUUUUGCUUCAUGUUGAUGCCAUGUGUGUUCCGGCUACGCAUUGUAGGUUAGAUUUACACUUUAAAUGACUGCAAUGGCUUCAAGGUUCCCUGAACCAGUUUGUUAUAUUAUCUACUUUUCUUAAAUGCCAACAUUCAGUCCCAAUAAACUGUAGCUUUUUAUUUGUCCUGUAAGUCAUGUUAAACUAUGAAGUGUUCAUGACUGACAUUACCAUGGUUGUAUAUUAGAGGAUAUCUAGCAUUUGCAAUGUCACCAGACAUGUAUAAACUGAAAAUUAUCCGUCAUAAACUUUUUGGUGUCAUAGCUGAGUUUCUAAAAACUGCAUUGACAAAUCCCAUGAUCCAUGGUCUUUAAGAAUUUGCCAAAGUCUGUCAAGUCCUCUGUACGAGAAAACAUAAGAGCAUAUCAAUGUCUGAUGUGCUAUUAAUGAAUUAGAAAAUUGUAACAAAAUCAAAGCCAGUAAUUAGGGAAGUUCCUAAUCAAGGCUAAACAGUUACCGAAUUUACCAUAUUAAUCAUCCUUCUCCAGUAAGCACCCUUGACCAAGUUCUAGACAAGUCUGUAAGGAAACCUUAUUAGCACCGUCUACUAAGACCAACAAUGUGUCAUGAUGGUGCAUGUUAAGUUGUGUAUCUUAUGGAUUUUUUCACAGGAAAUAGUACCACAGUAACUUCUUUGAGUGGCAUUGUUUAGAAGUUGGAGAGUAACAUACAAACAAAAUUUAUGGAUAAACAACUUCUUUAUUCAUACUUGCUUCAUAACGAUACAACAAUCCGUAUCGAAACAUCACAUCUACCGAAUAAAGAAGUUGUUUAUCCAUAAAGUUUGUCUGUAUAGUACCACAGUAGGGGUGUAAUUGCUUCAAAACUCGAAAGAGUUGACGAAACUUGGCCCAUUCAUUAUUAUAUUUGAUGCAGUUUAAACUUUGGCCAAGAACAUUCACUCACUGUUGAGAUCAUUAUUAAUUCAUCUGAGCGUGCUCUUUAGGGAAGGAGUAUGCUACAGAAGACUGUUCAAGAUCUGUUCAAUGAGGUUUACUCGCCAGAUCAUUGGACAUAAGGAAUGUAGAGUUUGUACUUACAAAGCCAUAAUUCAGACUAUACUAAGCAAAAAGUUCAAAGUUACAUUCAUUUUGUUGUGAGAAACAAAUUAUGAGGUCAAAUCUACCUUCUGGAGUCAGACCUCUAAAUUCCAAUGUGCAGAAACCAUCUUGGGAGAUUCCAAUACUCAAAAACUGAUGUCCAUCCUUCUGCACUUGUUUCCCAGGGUUCAUUACAGGAAUCACUUCCUGAUAUCGACUAAGAAGCCUUCCAUGACUGAUCUGUAAUGCAAACUUGUCCUUCCACAAAUACACAGGUAGUUGUUUGUUAUUUAUAAGUCCUGUCUAAUUUAUUGUCACUCCAUACCAUCCUUGUAUUGCCUUUCUGUUGUAAAUAAAAUGGAUGUCAGAAAAAUUCA
This is a long non-coding RNA of Haliotis rubra (blacklip abalone), 5330 nucleotides long. RefSeq lists it as uncharacterized. The record is from RefSeq and is a predicted model, not a curated record. The transcript is spliced from 2 exons. Lineage: Eukaryota; Metazoa; Mollusca; Gastropoda; Lepetellida; Haliotidae.